GCCGAGGUGGCGGAAUGGCAGACGCGCGUGGUUUAGGGCCACGUGUCCUUAAGGACGUGGGGGUUCGACUCCCUUCCUCGGCA
RNAcentral lists this transfer RNA (83 nucleotides) under Patescibacteria group bacterium. RNAcentral's name for it is "tRNA-Leu". It matches the Rfam family "tRNA". Rfam says of the family: Transfer RNA (tRNA) molecules are approximately 80 nucleotides in length. RNAcentral also lists the same sequence under 1 other name. The record is from RNAcentral.